Molecule: ribosomal RNA, 512 nt
Filed under: uncultured Bifidobacterium sp.
Lineage: Bacteria; Bacillati; Actinomycetota; Actinomycetes; Bifidobacteriales; Bifidobacteriaceae
Description: bacterial SSU rRNA
Rfam family: Bacterial small subunit ribosomal RNA
Source: RNAcentral
UAAUGCCGGAUGCUCCGACUCCUCGCAUGGGGUGUCGGGAAAGAUUCUAUCGGUAUGGGAUGGGGUCGCGUCCUAUCAGGUAGUCGGCGGGGUAACGGCCCACCGAGCCUACGACGGGUAGCCGGCCUGAGAGGGCGACCGGCCACAUUGGGACUGAGAUACGGCCCAGACUCCUACGGGAGGCAGCAGUGGGGAAUAUUGCACAAUGGGCGCAAGCCUGAUGCAGCGACGCCGCGUGCGGGAUGACGGCCUUCGGGUUGUAAACCGCUUUUGAUCGGGAGCAAGCCUUCGGGUGAGUGUACCUUUCGAAUAAGCACCGGCUAACUACGUGCCAGCAGCCGCGGUAAUACGUAGGGUGCAAGCGUUAUCCGGAAUUAUUGGGCGUAAAGGGCUCGUAGGCGGUUCGUCGCGUCCGGUGUGAAAGUCCAUCGCUUAACGGUGGAUCUGCGCCGGGUACGGGCGGGCUGGAGUGCGGUAGGGGAGACUGGAAUUCCCGGUGUAACGGUGGAAUG